UGGGGAAUUUUGGACAAUGGGCGAAAGCCUGAUCCAGCAAUACCGCGUGUGUGAUGAAGGCCUUCGGGUCGUAAAGCACUUUCAGUUGUGAAGAAAUGCACAUGGUUAAUAGCCAUGUGAGCUGACGUUAACAACAAAAGAAGCACCGGCUAACUCUGUGCCAGCAGCCGCGGUAAUACAGAGGGUGCAAGCGUUAAUCGGAAUUACUGGGCGUAAAGCGCGCGUAGGUGGGUAGUUAAGUUAUGUGUGAAAGCCCCGGGCUCAACCUGGGAAUUGCACGUAAGACUGGCUAUCUAGAGUAUAGUAGAGGGAAGUAGAAUUUCCGGUGUAGCGGUGAAAUGCAUAGAUAUCGGAAGGAAUACCAGUGGCGAAGGCGACUUCCUGGGCUAUUACUGACACUGAGGCGCGAAAGCGUGGGGAGCAAACAGG
This 429-nucleotide ribosomal RNA is filed under the name uncultured bacterium. RNAcentral describes it as "bacterial SSU rRNA". It matches the Rfam family "Bacterial small subunit ribosomal RNA", at positions 355 to 776 of the family's 1533-position model. The record is from RNAcentral.